AUACGUCGGUCGUGCUUUCGGGUACGUACUGGCGUCAUUGGUUUCUCCUUUCUGACGAACCAUGAUGUCAUUAAUUUGGUGUUAUGGGGAGUUAGGACUGUUACUUUGAAAAAAUUAGAGUGUUUAAAGCAGGCAUUAGCUUGAAUACAUUAGCAUGGAAUAAUGAAAUAGGACGUUCGAUCCUAUUUUGUUGGUUUCUAGGAUCAACGUA
RNAcentral lists this ribosomal RNA (211 nucleotides) under uncultured Glomus. Its description in RNAcentral is "partial small subunit ribosomal RNA". The stretch from base 42 to 211 matches the Rfam family "Eukaryotic small subunit ribosomal RNA", at positions 693 to 864 of the family's 1831-position model. The record is from RNAcentral. Lineage: Eukaryota; Fungi; Glomeromycota; Glomeromycetes; Glomerales; Glomeraceae.